CCUACGGGAGGCAGCAGUGAGGAAUAUUGGUCAAUGGACGCAAGUCUGAACCAGCCAAGUAGCGUGAAGGAUGACGGCCCUACGGGUUGUAAACUGCUUUUAUAAGGGAAUAAAGGGAGGCACGUGUGCCUCUUUGUAUGUAUCUUAUGAAUAAGGAUCGGCUAACUCCGUGCCAGCAGCCGCGGUAAUACGGAGGAUGCGAGCGUUAUCCGGAUUUAUUGGGUUUAAAGGGAGCGUAGGUGGGUUGUUAAGUCAGAUGUGAAAUUUUGCGGCUCAACCGUGGAAUUGCAAUUGAUACUGGAAGUCUUGAGUGCAGUUGAGGUAGGCGGAAUGCAUGGUGUAGCGGUGAAAUGCUUAGAGAUCAUGAAGAACUCCGAUUGCGAAGGCAGCUUACCAAGCUGCCACUGACGUUGAGGCUCGAAAGUGUGGGUAUCAAACAGGAUUAGAUACCCCAGUAGUC
This 460-nucleotide ribosomal RNA is filed under the name uncultured bacterium. Its description in RNAcentral is "partial 16S ribosomal RNA". It matches the Rfam family "Bacterial small subunit ribosomal RNA", at positions 338 to 795 of the family's 1533-position model. The record is from RNAcentral.